UACGUAGGGGCAAGCGUUGUCCGGAUUUACUGGGCGUAAAAGGCUCGUAGGUGGCUCGUCCAGUCGAGCGUGAAAUCUCCCGGCCUUAACGUGGGAGGGUCGUUCGGAUACUAGCGGGCUGCGAGGCCGGUAGAGGGAAGCGGAAUUCCGGGGUGUAGUGGGUAGGUCGAAUGACGUAGGAUAUCCGGAGGAACACCAGUGGC
RNAcentral lists this ribosomal RNA (203 nucleotides) under uncultured bacterium. RNAcentral describes it as "partial 16S ribosomal RNA". It matches the Rfam family "Bacterial small subunit ribosomal RNA", at positions 524 to 716 of the family's 1533-position model. The record is from RNAcentral.